This 494-nucleotide ribosomal RNA is filed under the name uncultured bacterium. RNAcentral describes it as "partial 16S ribosomal RNA". It matches the Rfam family "Bacterial small subunit ribosomal RNA", at positions 28 to 507 of the family's 1533-position model. The record is from RNAcentral.
GACGAACGCUGGCGGCGCGCUUAACACAUGCAAGUCGAACGGAAAGGCCUGCUUUCCCUUGUGGAUUGCGGGUACUCGAGUGGCGAACGGGUGAGUAACACGUGAGUGAUCUGCCCCCAACUUGGGUAUAAGCCUGGGAAACUGGGUCUAAUUCCCGAUAGGACUGCAGGGUGGUGCCUGUGGUGGAAAACGAUUUUCUAGUGGUUGGGGAUGAGCUCGCGGCCUAUCAGCUUGUUGGUGGGGUAAUGGCCUACCAAGGCGGCGACGGGUAGCCGGCCUGAGAGGGUGGACGGCCACAUUGGGACUGAGAUACGGCCCAGACUCCUACGGGAGGCAGCAGUGGGGAAUAUUACACAAUGGGCGGAAGCCUGAUGCAGCGACGCCGCGUGGGGGAUGACGGCCUUCGGGUUGUAAACUCCUUCCGACCGCGAGGAAGCCACCUGGUUGGAAGGGUGGUGACGGUAGUGGUAGAAGAAGCACCGGCUAACUACGUG